UACAGAGGUCUCAAGCGUUAUUCGGAUUCAUUGGGCGUAAAGGGUGCGUAGGUGGCGAUGUAAGUCUGGUGUGAAAUCUCGGGGCUUAACCCCGAAAUUGCAUUGGAUACUGCGUUGCUUGAGGAUUGUAGAGGAGAGUGGAAUUCACGGUGUAGCAGUGAAAUGCGUAGAUAUCGUGAGGAAGACCAGUUGCGAAGGCGACUCUCUGGGCAAUUCCUGACACUGAGGCACGAAGGCCAGGGGAGCAAACGGG
Molecule: ribosomal RNA, 253 nt
Filed under: uncultured bacterium
Lineage: Bacteria
Description: partial 16S ribosomal RNA
Rfam family: Bacterial small subunit ribosomal RNA
Source: RNAcentral